Molecule: ribosomal RNA, 468 nt
Filed under: uncultured bacterium
Lineage: Bacteria
Description: partial 16S ribosomal RNA
Rfam family: Bacterial small subunit ribosomal RNA
Source: RNAcentral
GACGAACGCUGGCGGCUUUCUUCACACAUGCAAGUCGAACGGAAAGGCCCUGCUUUUGUGGUGUGCUCGAGUGGCGAACGGGUGAGUAACACGUGAGUAACCUGCCCUUGACUUUGGGAUAACUUCAGGAAACUGGGGCUAAUACCGGAUAGGAGCUCCUGCUGCAUGGUGGGGGUUGGAAAGUUUCGGCGGUUGGGGAUGGACUCGCGGCUUAUCAGCUUGUUGGUGGGGUAGUGGCUUACCAAGGCUUUGACGGGUAGCCGGCCUGAGAGGGUGACCGGCCACAUUGGGACUGAGAUACGGCCCAGACUCCUACGGGAGGCAGCAGUGGGGAAUAUUGCACAAUGGGCGGAAGCCUGAUGCAGCAACGCCGCGUGCGGGAUGACGGCAUUCGGGUUGUAAACCGCUUUCGCCUGUGACGAAGCGUGAGUGACGGUAAUGGGUAAAGAAGCACCGGCUAACUACGUG